Camelina sativa (false flax) is the source of this 2296-nucleotide non-coding RNA. The record is from RefSeq and is a predicted model, not a curated record. Lineage: Eukaryota; Viridiplantae; Streptophyta; Magnoliopsida; Brassicales; Brassicaceae.
UCAUCGGCACAAUUAUGUUGUUUCUUAGUUUGUUUCUUAGGGGUAGAUAAUAUUAAUUAUUGAAACCUAAGCUAAGAAAUGCAAGAUUCGUUUCUUAUUUUAGGAUUGCAAGAAACGUCUCUUGCUGGACAAGUGUCACAAAAUCAGUGGGUCGAGUUUUAUUUGGGACGAAGGGGUUUAAUUUUUUUUUUCAUCUCUCUUUCACUUUCCUUUUUUCUCUUUUCUUUCUCUCUCUCUCUCUCUCUCUCUCGAGACUUUUCGCGAUUUCAGCUUGAAUCUCUUCUUCCUUCGAUUCCGGAAACUGAUUGCUUCUCUUCCAGUUGAUUCCCACGGCUAUUGGACUAGGAUUUGGCCGCGAUUUGGUUCCGGUGAAGCAGGGGGCAUGUGAUUCCGGUGGUGAGCGAUCCGUCGAAACCCUAAUAUUUGGGGAAGAUUCAAGCCAUUCGAUUUGUUCAGAUUCUCAUAAUAGGUUGAAUUGGGUUUGUGUAUCUGAAACCGAUUGAAUCAAAGUUUCUUCCUUUACGUUUUGGAUGCCAAGGAGUUUUUCCCUUCUUACUACAACCCUAAGAAGAACAAUCAGGUUGGGAAACCUAAUCAAUUUCUCUCUGCUGACGAUUUUGCUACAGCCAAGAAGCAAUCAGGUGAAGAAUUUGAAUCUGAUGCCAAGAAGGAUGAUAAUACCAGGAAGAGAAGAAACAAUUAUAGCCAAGGGAGGAGGAGGUUGACUGGGAGGAUUUCUAAGGCUCAAAGAUAGGAUAGUAUUAGAAGAACAGUGUAUGUUUCUGACAUUGACCAGAGUGUGACUGAGGAGGGUCUUGCUGCCUUGUUUAGUAACUGUGGACAAUCAGAAGAUGAAAGGGAGAUGUGCACAAGGACAAUCUACUGCACAAAUAUCGACAAGAAGGUUUCUCAAGCUGAUGUGAGAACCUUCUUUGAGUCUGCAUGUGGUGAGGUUGAAUUGGGUUUGUGUAUCUGAAACCGAUUGAAUCAACUCUUUUCUCUCCUAUCACAUUUUGAGCUCAAACCAAUCACAAUUAAGGCGACAAGGAAACAAUAUUUCAACCAAAUCUCCGAAAGAGGUAAAUAUACACCUAACUUGUUUAUAUUUAAAUUGAUUGCUUUGUUUGUUUGGUAGUUUCUUUUUUCGGAUAGUGAGUUAUAGCAUGUCAUAUCAGAUUUGUGCUCCUAUGUGUACUUCUUUGUGACUAGGUAGUAAUUAUUCUUAAUUGGUGGUUGUUCUUUCAUUAAUGGAAGUGACUAGGUUGUGUAUUCAUUGUGUGUUUGGUGUCGAGAAUUAAUUGUAACUCCAAUAUGCUUCACUUUAAAAACUAAGCUUUUCUUGAUCUUAAACCACAAACCCGAGUAUCUUCCAACCAUAAACCAUUCUUCGUUUCUACACCUCUCAAGCAUAAACCACUCUUCUUUUCUUCUUUGCUACUAUGGAGUCAGACCAUGAGCUAAACCAGUCCACAAAUUUUGUGGGACUUAUGAAUAGUCAAACCAUUUCUUUUGAUUCCCUCUACCCAAAUAUACCUACUCUGUCGUCUCCACUUCCUCUCUUUAGUUCCCAAGUCAGUUCCGCAGCUUCCCCAAGUGAAGACACAACACCUUCCCCAAGUCAGUUCCGUAGGGAGAGAAGGAAAUGGACACCUUCUGAUGACCGGAUUCUCAUUAGCGGGUGGUUAAACACCAGCAAGGAUGCUGUGAAAGGCAAUGAUCAGAAGGGCAAGACCUUCUGGAAUAGGGUUGCUAAGUAUUUUUCAGAUAGUCCUCUUUCUGAUGGCAAUGAGAAGAUAGGGCCAGUUCAGUGUAAACAGAGAUGGUCUAAGAUCCAAGAUACGGUGGGGAAGUUUUGUGGAACAUAUGCUGCUGCGGUAAGGGCUAAAACUAGUGGUCAGAAUGAAGAUGAUAUACUGAGGACAGCAUAUGAUAUGUACUAUAACAUUUAUCAGAAAAAAUUCGUUCUUGAGCAUUGUUGGUUAGAGUUACGCUACGACCAGAAAUGGUGUGAGAGUGUUAAUGGUAAAGCACCUGAAGUAACCAACAGGAAAAGACUCUUUGAUGAUCCUACACAAGCUUCAGCUUCUCAGACCGGCGGUAAUAUAGAUGAGCCAACAAACACAAGGCCUAUUGGCAGAGACGCAAGUAAGGCCAAACAGAGGAAGACUCAUACAGAAGCGAAAGAAGAGAAGGCUUUGAAGGAGUACCAAGGCAUGUGGGAAAUCAAGAGGGAAGAAUUGCUGCUGAAAGAGAGAUUGUCAAAAAUGCAAAUUCUUGACAGUUUGCUGGCCAAAAC